AAAUAACGUCCUGAUGGACCGCUGCCUCCUGCCAAAGGAAAGCGCUUAAAAGAAACACAACAUUUAUAGGAUGAGAAUUUAAAAUGACGUCUCUUGACACGUUGUCUCAAGACAACAACACAAAGUGUCCCAUGAGAGUUUUAGUGUUGAGGUGAAUGAGCUCUGUGUGUUUGUCCUGAUGAAGAUAAUAACGUGUGAGCUCUGCCAGCAGGUUGGUGUGAAGGUGUGAAGGUGUGGACUCUGCUAUGAAUCAGGCUGAGGACCCAGAGGACGGAGUCCCUCCCUCUGAAGCCCCUCUGUGUGGGGAACAUGACAGCCAGACCAAAGCUCAGAGGAUCCAUCAGAGACCAGGACCUGGACCUGGACCCAGCUGUGUGUCCAUGAAGAGUAACCGGUCUAUGGAGCCUCCUCCACUCUUCAAAGAUGUUGGUCCCUCUGUUGAUGCAAGGGCCCUUCAGCAGUGUCCAGUGAGGGAGGGAGAGCUCCAUGGAGGACUUGGUGAGACCUUUUGGGACUAAACCAAACUGACUGGUGAAGAAAACAGUGAGCUGAAAGACUGAGCUGUUGAUUCUCAGUGGGACCAGCAGGACCAGUAGACCUAAACCACUACAGGGAGUCAUGUGGUCCACAUCCAGACCUCACGUCAUGGACCUUUACCUUGUUUUGUUCACAUCAGCAGAGAGGAAAGUCUCCUGAACCCAGAUGUUUGUCCAUGAAGAGUGAUCGGUCUAAAGGUUGGCUGAUUGACUUCAAAGAUGGAUGCCGUUCUUAUGACCCAGAAUGUAAACACAAUGUGAGCCAGUUCCUCCACAUCAGGAUCAGCAGAGGUCACAUCUGGAGACAGCUGCAGGUUUCUGGAGUCAGAUGACUAGGAAUGAACAUGUGAUUAGAAUAAACUCAGUGCUCUGUGGACCAGCUGACGUGGUC
Molecule: long non-coding RNA, 927 nt
Organism: Gasterosteus aculeatus aculeatus (three-spined stickleback)
Lineage: Eukaryota; Metazoa; Chordata; Actinopteri; Perciformes; Gasterosteidae
Source: Ensembl